GCAGCAGGUGGCGUGGUGGUUACAGCCCUUAUCUUGCAACGGAAGCACCCGGGUUCGAAUCCCGUCUCCUGCUGCA
This 76-nucleotide transfer RNA is filed under the name Scleropages formosus (Asian bonytongue). RNAcentral describes it as "tRNA-Cys". Lineage: Eukaryota; Metazoa; Chordata; Actinopteri; Osteoglossiformes; Osteoglossidae. The record is from RNAcentral.